GGGUAAUUCUCAUUCCUGGGCUACCACACCGUCUCAAAGGUAACAUUACUAAUCUGGCAAAUUUCAAUGUGAAAAUGGAACGUUCUAUAUUUGACCCUGUAACUUUCCAAAACACCAUAAAACCUGUUAAUGGGGGUUACUGUUGUACUCGUGAGACAUCGCCGAUUACAAAUAUGUGCAUUUUUUUGCAGUAAAACCUAACAGUAUUAUGACAUUCACAGCUAAAAUGUCAGACAGAAAUACAAAUGUAAAAAAAAAAUCGUAUUUUCUCACAUUUUUUAAAUUUUUUUAUUCAUAAUAAAUUAUGUUCCAUAUAUGAAUAGUUAAUGAUAAAUUAAAGCCCUGUUUCUCCUGAACAAAAUGAUAUAUAAUAAGUGUGGGUGCACUUAAUGUGACAGCGGUGAAUUACGGUUGAACAGACAUAUAGCGCAAAUUCUAGUUUUUGUUUGCGUUUUGUUUUGAUCAGAACGUGCACUAUUGACUCCAUCCUGAAGGGGUUAAUUGUAGUGCUUUGGAGUGGGGUAAUAAAGAAAAAUAAUAACAAAACACUAGAAACUGUUUAUUGUAUUGUAAGGUUUGCAGAUAAUUGUCAAAUGCAUAAUUUCUAGAUGAUCAGAUUUGCUUACAGGGGGGUUGAAUGCAACAUUCCAGAGCUCAUUAAUAGGUCAAAUCCGGGUUAAAGGGAAAUCUCUUUAAAGGGAUACUCCAGCACUUUGUACGCGCCCCAACCUAUCAGUUGUGACAUGUGGGCCAAGGUAUUCAAGCAGGGAACAGUGGCUUGGCAAAUAUUUCUGGAAUAAACCCCAGAAUUUCCUCCUUGAGAUUUUCAAUUUUCAGAUGUCUUCAUGUUCGGUGCCAUUAUACACAGCAUGGCUAUCCCGAAGAUGGCUAAUGUCUCUUAUAGAGAAACAUGCAACUCUGUGCUUCUGUAUGAGAGACAUGGGAUUGGUGGAACAUGCCAUUUGGAUUAUAGGUAAGUUUAAUGGCUCUGAAUCUAAACAUAGAAAGGAACCCAUAGUAAGUGUCCAUUUAAACCAGGCUUCCCCAAACUCCGGCCCUCCAGAUGUUGCUGAACUACAACUCCCAUGAUUCUCAGCCUAUCAAUUUCAUUCAUAGAACCAUGGGAGUUGUAGUUCAGCAACAUCUGGAGGGCCAGAGUUUGGGGAAGCCUGCUUUAAACUACCGUAUAUACUCGAGUAUAAGCCGAGUUUUUCAGCACAUUUUUUGUGCUGAAAAACCCCAACUCGGCUUAUACUCGAGUCAUUGUCUGUAUUAUGGCAAUUUACAUUGCCAUAAUACAGACUGGGGGGCUGGCAGAGCUGUUACUUACCUCUCCUGCAGCUCCUGUCAGCUCUCUCCUCCUUCGCGCCGGUCCGGUCAGCACCUCGGUC
Non-coding RNA from Pelobates cultripes (western spadefoot toad), 1391 nucleotides. NCBI's taxonomy places the organism in Eukaryota, Metazoa, Chordata, Amphibia, Anura, Pelobatidae. The record is from the annotation of a GenBank genome assembly.